UUGAACGCUGGCGGCCUGCUUUACCCCUGCCAGUCGAACGGUAACAGGCCUUCGGGUGCUGCCGAGUGGCGAACGGGUGAGUAAUGCAUCGGAACGUGCCCAGAGGUGGGGGAUAACGCAGCGAAAGCUGUGCUAAUACCGCAUGUGAUCUGAGGAUGAAAGCGGGGGACCAGGCAGCAAUGUUUGGCCUCGCGCCUUUGGAGCGGCCGAUGUCAGAUUAGGUAGUUGGUGGGGUAAAGGCCUACCAAGCCGACGAUCUGUAGCUGGUCUGAGAGGACGACCAGCCACACUGGGACUGAGACACGGCCCAGACUCCUACGGGAGGCAGCAGUGGGGAAUUUUGGACAAUGGGCGCAAGCCUGAUCCAGCAAUGCCGCGUGCGGGAAGAAGGCCUUCGGGUUGUAAACCGCUUUUGUACGGAACGAAAAGGCUCUGGCUAAUACCUGGGGCUGAUGACGGUACCGUAAGAAUAAGCACCGGCUAACUACGUG
This 491-nucleotide ribosomal RNA is filed under the name uncultured bacterium. RNAcentral describes it as "partial 16S ribosomal RNA". It matches the Rfam family "Bacterial small subunit ribosomal RNA", at positions 30 to 507 of the family's 1533-position model. The record is from RNAcentral.